GCCCAAAGAUCAUUUCUCUCUUCACAUCUCCACCUCAAAGCACCCCUUGAGAAAGGAGCUUCUCGCAUCCUUCUCUCUUGAUUGAAGCGGUUGGAGUGUGCCCUAGCUUCCACCGUUCUUCUCAAUAUCGUCAUUUCUCUCCGUCAAAAUCUCUCUCCAUCCUCUAGUAACCUUCCUUCUCCUCACCCAUUUGAUCUUCCAAGUCUCCCUGCCUGCUCUUGUGGUGAGAAUGGCCCCAAAGAUGAAACUCCCUCAAAGAAGAAAAUCAGUCCGUGCGCUGGAAGAAGGCGUCCGCAGAAAAAGGCAAGCUUCUCAGACCUUCUCUGCUCCUAUUCCAGCUUCAGCGUCUGCACC
This 354-nucleotide long non-coding RNA is filed under the name Elaeis guineensis (African oil palm). RNAcentral's name for it is "long non-coding RNA (EGUI_LNC061437)". Lineage: Eukaryota; Viridiplantae; Streptophyta; Magnoliopsida; Arecales; Arecaceae. The record is from RNAcentral.